This 32-nucleotide non-coding RNA is filed under the name Rattus norvegicus (Norway rat). Lineage: Eukaryota; Metazoa; Chordata; Mammalia; Rodentia; Muridae. The record is from RNAcentral.
UGAAAAUGUUAUCUUUUUUUCCAUUGGAUGGU